This 100-nucleotide small RNA is filed under the name Escherichia coli 907357. Lineage: Bacteria; Pseudomonadati; Pseudomonadota; Gammaproteobacteria; Enterobacterales; Enterobacteriaceae. The record is from RNAcentral.
AGGCAACUAAGCCUGUAUUAAUGCCAACUUUUAGCGCACGGCUCUCUCCCAAGAGCCAUUUCCCUGGACCGAAUACAGGAAUCGUGUUCGGUCUCUUUUU